RNAcentral lists this transfer RNA (72 nucleotides) under Marmota marmota marmota (Alpine marmot). It matches the Rfam family "tRNA". Rfam says of the family: Transfer RNA (tRNA) molecules are approximately 80 nucleotides in length. Their secondary structure includes four short double-helical elements and three loops (D, anti-codon, and T loops). The record is from Rfam by way of RNAcentral. Lineage: Eukaryota; Metazoa; Chordata; Mammalia; Rodentia; Sciuridae. RNAcentral also lists the same sequence under 3 other names.
AGGGGUGUAUUUCAAUGGUAGAAUGUUUUUCUAGCAUGCAAGAGGCCCUGGGUUUUAUCCCCAGCACCAUUU